ACGGGAGGCAGCAGUGGGGAAUAUUGCACAAUGGAGGAAACUCUGAUGCAGCGAUGCCGCGUGAGGGAAGAAGGUUUUAGGAUUGUAAACCUCUGUCUUUGGGGACGAUAAUGACGGUACCCAAGGAGGAAGCUCCGGCUAACUACGUGCCAGCAGCCGCGGUAAUACGUAGGGAGCGAGCGUUGUCCGGAAUUACUGGGUGUAAAGGGAGUGUAGGCGGGACUGCAAGUCAGAUGUGAAAACUAUGGGCUUAACCCAUGAGACUGCAUUUGAAACUGUAGUUCUUGAGUGAAGUAGAGGUAAGCGGAAUUCCUAGUGUAGCGGUGAAAUGCGUAGAUAUUAGGAGGAACAUCAGUGGCGAAGGCGGCUUACUGGGCUUUAACUGACGCUGAGGCUCGAAAGCGUGGGGAGCAAACAGGAUUAGAUACCCUGGUA
This 435-nucleotide ribosomal RNA is filed under the name uncultured Ruminococcus sp. RNAcentral describes it as "partial 16S ribosomal RNA". It matches the Rfam family "Bacterial small subunit ribosomal RNA", at positions 341 to 792 of the family's 1533-position model. The record is from RNAcentral. Lineage: Bacteria; Bacillati; Bacillota; Clostridia; Eubacteriales; Oscillospiraceae.